UUUUAAAUUAGCCCCUCCUUCACGCAGAAACGGGCACCUCAGUUUAUUACUGAGCUUCUUUCUCCCUCUCUUCUUGAUCUUUUAUUCCUUCUUCUUUUAUCCUCCUCUUCUUUUUCUUCUUGUUCACUAGAGUAACAGAGAGAGGGAGAGGCAGAGAACAAGAGAGAUCAGGGAGAGGAGAGAUUGAGUGAGAUUGAGAGGCAUCACAGAGAGAGAUUGAGAGGGAGAUCAAAGAGAGAGAGUUGAGAACAGAGAGUGAGAUCGAGAGAGAUACGGACAGAGAGGGAGAGCCGGAGGCCGAUCCUCUAUGGAUUGACGCCGGCGACUCGAGUUCCGGCCGGUGCUACUGGUGGGUCAACUCCGGUAGAAACCAGGAGCUUGGACCCGUGACCGUGAGACCCAUGACCCAGACCGAACCGAGAGAGAGAUCCGGUGGCUUCCAGUGGCGAUUUCCGGCAAUAUUUUCCGGUGGGUUCGACGGAAGGACGAAUUCCGAUGACACAGUAAGGCGGAGUCAUUUAUUUGUAAUGGCGUAGACCUCGCUAAGAGCAAUAGAUCGUUGUGGACUGACCAAAUCUUUAUAUUGUAUAGUAUGUCUCUUUUUGGAGUUUAUAACUUUGUAAAUAAUUAUUAAUAGGCAUGAAUAAUAAAAUAAGAAGUUACUAUUUAUAUGUUGUAAA
Molecule: long non-coding RNA, 680 nt
Organism: Alnus glutinosa
Lineage: Eukaryota; Viridiplantae; Streptophyta; Magnoliopsida; Fagales; Betulaceae
Exons: 2
Source: RefSeq, a predicted model, not a curated record